GUGAACGCUGGCGGUAGGCCUAACACAUGCAAGUCGCACGGCAGCACAGUAAGAGCCUGCUCUUACGGGUGGCGAGUGGCGGACGGGUGAGGAAUACAUCGGAAUCUACUUUUUCGUGGGGGAUAACGUAGGGAAACUUACGCUAAUACCGCAUACGACCUACGGGUGAAAGCAGGGGAUCUUCGGACCUUGCGCGAUUGAAUGAGCCGAUGUCGGAUUAGCUAGUUGGCGGGGUAAAGGCCCACCAAGGCGACGAUCCGUAGCUGGUCUGAGAGGAUGAUCAGCCACACUGGAACUGAGACACGGUCCAGACUCCUACGGGAGGCAGCAGUGGGGAAUAUUGGACAAUGGGCGCAAGCCUGAUCCAGCCAUACCGCGUGGGUGAAGAAGGCCUUCGGGUUGUAAAGCCCUUUUGUUGGGAAAGAAAAGCAGCAGGUUAAUACCCCGCUGUUCUGACGGUACCCAAAGAAUAAGCACCGGCUAACUUCGUG
Molecule: ribosomal RNA, 491 nt
Filed under: uncultured bacterium
Lineage: Bacteria
Description: partial 16S ribosomal RNA
Rfam family: Bacterial small subunit ribosomal RNA
Source: RNAcentral